UACAGAGGGUGCUAGCGUUGUUCGGAAUCAUUGGGCGUAAAGGGCGUGUAGGCGGUUUGUUAAGUCAUGUGUGAAAUCCCUCGGCUCAACCGGGGAACGACGCAUGAAACUGGCAAGCUAGAGUACCAAAGAGGGGGGUGGAAUUCCCGGUGUAGCGGUGAAAUGCGCAGAUAUCAGGAGGAACACCAAUGGCGAAGGCAGGUCUCUGGGCCACAACUGACGCUGAGGAGCGAAAGCAUGGGGAGCGAACAGG
RNAcentral lists this ribosomal RNA (253 nucleotides) under uncultured bacterium. RNAcentral describes it as "partial 16S ribosomal RNA". It matches the Rfam family "Bacterial small subunit ribosomal RNA", at positions 524 to 776 of the family's 1533-position model. The record is from RNAcentral.